Peromyscus californicus insignis is the source of this 1128-nucleotide long non-coding RNA. RefSeq lists it as uncharacterized. The transcript is spliced from 6 exons. NCBI's taxonomy places the organism in Eukaryota, Metazoa, Chordata, Mammalia, Rodentia, Cricetidae. The record is from RefSeq and is a predicted model, not a curated record.
GUGGAGGCAGAUGGGGCAGUGAGGGGCCGGGGAACACUGGCAUUCUGGGUCAUCUGGUCCCUUGCUCCCUAAAACCCAGAUGGACACCUGCCCCUAGCACCAGAUCCUCCUCAGCUCUCCUGGGUGGAGGGACCGUUCCCCGGGAAACAGAUCCCGUGGGGCGGGAGCGCCCCAGCUCUCCCGUUGCUAUGGUGAACCCGAUCCCCACCCCCCGGGGUUUCUCACGGCCUUGUAGCUGAGAAGACAGGCUCCGCCCCCGCCCCAGCUUCUUGGUUCUGGAGCCCGAAAGGGUUAAAACUUGAAUCGUGGGGUGGGGGGCAAUCCAGGCGUUCUGGCCCCUCCUCCCCUUCCCCCCCCCCGUCUCCAGCUCGGGUUCCCGUUGAGGGGGUGCAAAGACGAAAGGGCCUGGCUUCCCUGAGGGCCUGCACAUCAGGCCGUAAGGACCUGGGAGCUAUAUCCUGAUUGAGGAGUGGGUGGAGGCCUGGACUCCUGGAUGUUUGGGGGGCAGGGGGCUCAUGUGGGUCCAGAGGAUCCAAGGGACCCGGAUUCUUAGAUCCAAGCGCCUGCUGCCUGGUCAUCAACCUGUCCUGAUUCCUCAGAAAGCUGGACAGGACUUGAUGGCCGGUUGAAGACCUCAAGACUCUUCAAUUAGAGAGAUGUCUUCACACAUGAGUCUGGAGACGCUGGUGGCUGGGUGGAGACAAGGGUCACGUGAACUGGAGCCGUCACUGCUUCCUGGGAUCCGGACCAAGUUCUUUUUCUUGGAGAAAGAGCCUGAGGCCCAGGACGGGUCUCACUAUGGAGCCAAGGCUAGCCUUGAACUCAUGAUUCUCCUGCUUCAGUCUCCUGAGUGCUGGGGUUACAGUGAUCGAAGUGGACCCUGAGUCUCACUGAAUGAACAAAGAAUGGCAAAGCGACUUAGACCCAACCUGGUGGAAGGCGGUCCCAUCCAGCCGGAUCCCAUCUCGGAACCACAGUAGUUCAGGGGCAGGUUGGGCAUCCCCUCGACUCCGACAGUUCCACAGGCUUAAUGUGGAGGUCGUGCUGGCCACUGGCUGCAUUCCCUGAUAUCCAGUACCGGGACCACCCUGAAGACGGAAGAGACAAUAUAUAAUUCUGAACUCCUGG